This 492-nucleotide ribosomal RNA is filed under the name uncultured bacterium. RNAcentral's name for it is "partial 16S ribosomal RNA". It matches the Rfam family "Bacterial small subunit ribosomal RNA", at positions 29 to 507 of the family's 1533-position model. The record is from RNAcentral.
AUUGAACGCUGGCGGCAUGCUUUACACAUGCAAGUCGAACGGUAACAGGCCUUCGGGUGCUGACGAGUGGCGAACGGGUGAGUAAUGCAUCGGAACGUACCCAGAGGUGGGGGAUAACGCAGCGAAAGCUGUGCUAAUACCGCAUGUGAUCUGAGGAUGAAAGCGGGGGACCGAGCAGCAAUGUUUGGCCUCGCGCCUUUGGAGCGGCCGAUGUCGGAUUAGCUAGUUGGUGGGGUAAAGGCCUACCAAGGCGACGAUCCGUAGCUGGUCUGAGAGGACGACCGGCCACACUAGGACUGAGACACGGCCCAGACUCCUACGGGAGGCAGCAGUGGGGAAUUUUGGACAGUGGGCGCAAGCCUGAUCCAGCAAUGCCGCGUGCGGGAAGAAGGCCUUCGGGUUGUAAACCGCUUUUGGCAGGAACGAAACGGUGUCCGCUAAUACCGGGCGCUAAUGACGGUACCUGCAGAAUAAGCACCGGCUAACUACGUG